Molecule: ribosomal RNA, 1189 nt
Filed under: Campylobacter hyointestinalis subsp. lawsonii
Lineage: Bacteria; Pseudomonadati; Campylobacterota; Epsilonproteobacteria; Campylobacterales; Campylobacteraceae
Description: bacterial LSU rRNA
Rfam family: Bacterial large subunit ribosomal RNA
Source: RNAcentral
AAAAAAGGUAAGCUACUAAGAGCAAAUGGUGGAUGCCUUGGCUAGUAGAGGCGAUGAAAGACGUGCUAGGCUGCGAUAAGUCUCGGGGAGCCGUCAAGGGGCUUUGAUCCGGGAAUUUCUGAAUGGGGCAACCCAGUAUAUAGUGAUAUAUACUACCGCAAUGCGGAGCGAACGUUGGGAAUUGAAACAUCUUAGUACCAACAGGAAAAGAAAUCAAACGAGAUUACGCUAGUAGCGGCGAGCGAAAGCGUAAGAGGGCAAACCACUAGCUUGCUAGUGGGGUUGUAGGACUGCAAUAUAGACUUAAACAAUCUAAUAGAAUAAGCUGGAAAGCUUAAGCAUAGAGGGUGAUACUCCCGUAUAUGAAAGUGCGUUUAUACUUAGCAGUAUCCUGAGUAGGGCGGGACACGUGUAAUCCUGUCUGAAGCUGGGUAGACCACUAUCCAACCCUAAAUACUACUACUAGACCGAUAGUGCACAAGUACCGUGAGGGAAAGGUGAAAAGAACUGAGGUGAUCAGAGUGAAAUAGAACCUGAAACCAUUUGCUUACAAUCAUUCAGAGCCCUAUGAUUUAUCAGGGUGAUGGACUGCCUUUUGCAUAAUGAGCCUGCGAGUUGUGGUGUCUGGCAAGGUUAAGGAAACCCGGAGCCGUAGCGAAAGCGAGUCUUAAUAGGGCGUAUAGUCAGAUGCUGCAGACCCGAAACGAUGUGAUCUAUCCAUGAGCAGGUUGAAACCGGUGUAAGAGCCGGUGGAGGACCGAACAGACGGCCGUUGAAAAGGCUCCUGAUGACUUGUGGAUAGGGGUGAAAGGCCAAUCAAACAUCGUGAUAGCUGGUUCUCUCCGAAAUAUAUUUAGGUAUAGCGUUGUGUAGUAACUUUGUGAGGUAGAGCACUGAAUGGGCUAGGGCAUACACCAAUGUACCAAACCCUAUCAAACUCCGAAUGCGCAAAGUGUAAUCACAGCAGUCAGGCGGCGAGUGAUAAAAUCCGUCGUCAAGAGGGGAACAACCCAGACUAACAGCUAAGGUCCCUAAAUCUCAUUUAAGUGGAAAACGAUGUGAAGUUACUUUAACAACCAGGAGGUUGGCUUAGAAGCAGCCAUCCUUUAAAGAAAGCGUAAUAGCUCACUGGUCUAGUGAUUUCGCGCGGAAAAUAUAACGGGGCUAAAAUGAGUACCGAAGCUUUAGA